AUUGAACGCUGGAGGCGUGCUUAACACAUGCAAGUCGUGCGAGAAAGGGACUUCGGUCCUGAGUAGAGCGGCGCACGGGUGAGUAACGCGUGGGUAAUCUCCCUUGGUGAUCGGGAUAACAGCGGGAAACUGCUGCUAAUACCGGAUAAUCUUCAUGUUUAACUUCAUGGGGUAAAGGUGGCCUCUGCUUGCAUGCUACCACAUCAAGAUGAGCCCGCGUCUCAUUAGCUAGUGGGUAGGGUAAUGGCCUACCAAGGCUACGAUGAGUAGCUGGUCUGGGAGGAUGACCAGCCACACUGGGACUGGAACACGGCCCAGACUCCUACGGGAGGCAGCAGUGGGGAAUAUUGCGCAAUGGGCGAAAGCCUGACGCAGCGACGCCUCGUGAGGGAUGAAGGUCUUCGGAUCGUAAACCUCUGUCAAGAGGGAAGAAACCCUUGAGUUCGAACAGGACUCUUGGCUGACGGUACCUCAAAAGGAAGCACCGGCUAACUCCGUGCCAGCAGCCGCCGUAA
This 515-nucleotide ribosomal RNA is filed under the name uncultured bacterium. RNAcentral's name for it is "partial 16S ribosomal RNA". It matches the Rfam family "Bacterial small subunit ribosomal RNA", at positions 30 to 523 of the family's 1533-position model. The record is from RNAcentral.